GGAAACCUGCAGUCAGAGAAACGUUUCUCCCACAAAACGCUACGUCCAGAUGAACAGAAUUAACUUUUGGAGACAAAUAUAAACAUGUUCUCACAAGAGAUUUCGUUGAAGGAAAUAGAAUACAUACAUACUCUAAAUCUUGUGUCACAGUUGCACGUCAUGAAGAUUGAGAUUUUGCUCCAGAUCGACUUCACAGCAUCACACAGCUGGCGCAGAUUUGUCAGCUGUACAUCCACAUUUCCCCUUCUACCAAAUACCAAAGGUGUUCUACUGCUCUAAGUGAGAUCUGAGGACUCUGGAGUAUAACUGGAGUAUAUUGGAGUACAGCAUUUAUCCAGACCAUUCUUCAUAAACCUGAGAGUUGGGAGAGCACCCUGUCUGGCAUCAACAUCCGUCACAUUCAAAAUCACAUAAAUCAUAUUCUACCCCAUUGUGAUUCUUAGGCUGUCUUGGCCAUGUCCACCUGCCUAAAUGCUUUGAGUUGCUGACAUGGGAUUGGCCAACUGGUUAUUUGCUUUAACAAACAGUUGAACAGGCAUUACCAAAUAAAGUGGCUGUUGAAUGUAUGUCAUGUGACUGCAAUAUACAUUCACACUGGACAAUCCAGUAGUUGUGCUAUAUUCUCAGAUUGUAUAAAUUUUUUUUCUCAUGCAUAUAGUUUCAAACGUAUCAUUUUGCUUUUCUCAAUUUCAGCAAUUUUGUGAAUUUUAAAUAAAUCUUUGACAUUUCAUUAUGUCCCUACCAAUUCUACACAGCAGUGAAAAGAAAAAUCAAGUCCAAACAAAACCACUGAAAGGAAGCCUUUUGGAAUAAUGUGCAGGAUAUGCUUUGCUAAAACUAAAAUGUAUUAUUUGGGAACAGAUGAGGUGAUGCUUGUUUUGCAUUAGUAUUUAAUGUGUGUUGAUUUACAACAUGAAUUCGCAUCUUUUGCCUUAGUACUGAAAAACACAAAACACAGGAACAGAGUGCUGCACCGUGAAGUUUGAAACUGAGCCUCCAUGGAUAUCUGAAAAUGCUAAUGUAUCUCUCUGUACUGUAAUGUAAUUAUAACAAUGUUCAAACAAUCAUAUCUAAUGAAGCGCUUGGUCAGUACACAUUGUAAAAUUGUUAGCCUACAAACAUAAUUUGUUCUAAAGUAAAGAUUUUACUGUUAGACUCCAUAAGAAUAUAAAGUAUUCAGUUCAAUUCAAAGUUCGUCAAGCAUCCCUCUACUUUGCUCAUCAGGAUGGCCGUCUGAGUCUACCUGAGGUACUUGACAAGAUGGACUUCAUCAAGACCAGUACAAUCACCGACUAUGGAGGGAUGAGGGUGGAUGGCCGUGAUGAACUGUGACUUCAGUUUGGUCCCACAUACAAAUGUUUUACACAAAAAUCUGUGACUGGUGAAUAUUUUCUUAUCUGAAUUGAUUCAUCCUAUACAAAUUUAAAACACUUAAGGCCACACUUACCAUAUCUUACAAAACUGACUCA
This is a long non-coding RNA of Oreochromis niloticus (Nile tilapia), 1469 nucleotides long. RefSeq lists it as uncharacterized. Lineage: Eukaryota; Metazoa; Chordata; Actinopteri; Cichliformes; Cichlidae. The record is from RefSeq and is a predicted model, not a curated record. The transcript is spliced from 2 exons.